UAGCCGUAAACGAUACUCGCUAGGUGUCGGCCACGGUGCGACCGUUGUCGGUGCCGUAGGGAAGCCGUGAAGCGAGCCACCUGGGAAGUACGGCCGCAAGGCUGAAACUUAAAGGAAUUGGCGGGGGGAGCACCACAACGGGUGGAGCCUGCGGUUUAAUUGGACUCAACGCCGGGAAGCUCACCGGAUAAGACAGCGGAAUGAUUGCCGGGCUGAAGACCCUGCUAGAUUUUCAGAGAGGUGGUGCAUGGCGUCAAUGACU
RNAcentral lists this ribosomal RNA (262 nucleotides) under uncultured archaeon. RNAcentral's name for it is "partial 16S ribosomal RNA". It matches the Rfam family "Archaeal small subunit ribosomal RNA", at positions 748 to 1008 of the family's 1478-position model. The record is from RNAcentral.